This 459-nucleotide ribosomal RNA is filed under the name uncultured bacterium. RNAcentral's name for it is "partial 16S ribosomal RNA". It matches the Rfam family "Bacterial small subunit ribosomal RNA", at positions 338 to 795 of the family's 1533-position model. The record is from RNAcentral.
ACUACGGGUGGCAGCAGUGAGGAAUAUUGGUCAAUGGGAGAGAUCCUGAACCAGCCAAGCCGCGUGAGGGAAGACGGCCCUAUGGGUUGUAAACCUCUUUUGUCGGAGAACAAAACCCGGGACGUGUCCCGUACUGCGUGUAUCCGAAGAAAAAGCAUCGGCUAACUCCGUGCCAGCAGCCGCGGUAAUACGGGGGAUGCGAGCGUUAUCCGGAUUUAUUGGGUUUAACGGGUGCGUAGGCGGUCCGUUAAGUCCGCGGUAAAAUUGCGGGGCUCAACCCCGUCGGGCCGUUGAAACUGGCAGACUUGAGUUGGCGAGAGGUACGCGGAAUGCGCGGUGUAGCUGUGAAAUGCAUAGAUAUCGCGCAGAACUCCGAUUGCGAAGGCAGCGUACCGGCGCCAGACUGACGCUGAGGCACGAAAGCGUGGGGAUCGAACAGGAUUAGAUACCCUAGUAGUC